UAAAAGACCAUCUAAGGAGUUGGAUGUUCAUUUUUUUUCUGAUGAUGUGUCUGACUUGGCUUCUGAACCACUCCACUGCUAAAAGAAAUCUUGUGUGUUGCUGGGGGUGUGACUGACUUACCUAGAAGAGGUGUAACUUGAGCUGAAAGAGGGCGGAGGUAGAAAGAGUGACACAAAUUACAGCAUUUUUCCCUUUUCCCGGUCAGAGGAGCAGAUCUCUGUCCAGGUUUGCACACAAAAAAACCCCCACAGAACAAAACACCAUUCAUAUCUUUGCUGUAAAAGAGGAACAGUUUCAUGGAUUGAGGAGCUGCAUGGAUUUUUGUGUGAAAUCUGAGAAGUCAUGAUGCCAACUUUAGGUGCAAAGAAGAAAGAAAAUCCAUCCAGAAUGGACAGACAAAUUACAGCCUUGCCACAGCUGAGCAAUGAGAUGCAGCUGAGCAUCAUGAACAAGGUGAAGAACGGAGAGUUGUCCAUCGAGGAUGCUCUGAACCAAGCUUGGAAGGACGAGGAGCAGCUGUUCAAAAUGCAGAGCCUGGCUGAAGAGGAACAGCUCCCAUCACAGUACAACUUCAGUGUUCACAAGCAUGGCCGCUACAGGUGGCAGAAGCGGGUUCUUCAGAUUGAUUUCAAGACAAAAAUGCUGUGCAGCAUAGAGAAAGGCAUCAUCAAGCGACAACUUCCCUUCUCCAUUGUCAAGAACUGUGAUGAUGGCGUCGGUUCCAGGUUCUCCAUUUCUUUUAAAGGACAUCAUGAUUAUGAAUUGGAGGCCACUUCACUGGAGGACAAACACAAGAUGAUGCAGCUCGUGAAUCAGAUCAUUUACGGGAACAUAUACACAGAUCCUGAAGAGGGCAAUGCGGAGACACAUCAGCAGCCUCAAGCGUCACAGUGCCUUCGCGAAGGCGUCUUGUUGCUGCACAGAGGCGGCCUGGCGUCAUUCAGAUGGGUGAAGUAUGAGGCCCAGCUCCACCCAGGCCAGCUGAUACUGGUCCCCUUCAGGCUGCGAGGCACCGCUGACGGCGAGGCGACGUCCUCGGUGCCCGUGUCCACCGUGAUUCACCUGUCAGAUGGUGACACCAGCAUACAGAAAUCUCAUAGCCCCGACACUUUCACCCUGAUCACCCAUAAAAAUGAGUACCACUUCAAGGUGCCUGUAUCAGAUCAAACAACUGCUCCAGGGGAUGUCCAGAGGGAGCAGGACGAUUGGGUCAACGCCAUCGACAAACUGUGUUCAGAGUGGAAGAGGAAGUCCAAGGGUGGACACAUGUUUAUGGAAACUCUGCGACAUCUCGGCAUAGACGAAGACGCAGAGGACACCGAUACAGAUCUCGAGUCUAGCGGUGGAUUUAGCGGCGUUAAUACGACUAAUAAUUACUCUCCAGUUGAUUAUCCAAAUUUGGUUCCCGCUUCUGGUGGCGGGGAUCAUGACAUGAGUCAAAGUUAUCCCCCAGCAGAUUAUACAGAGCCUGUCCCUAAACCUCGCAGCCCAGGGAAGACUGCUGUUCAGGUUGUUGGACCGGAUAUUUUGCCCUUUGUCCCGUCACCACCCUCUCCACCCUCACCCUCCCAUAUGGCACUCACACCUCCUCCUGCAGUCCCAGAGUCUCUUGGCCAUGAAUCAGAGUCGCCAAUUGUGAAAGUUCCUUCACCCCCGAGUAUCCCGGCCCCUCCACCUUUACCCUCCAAGUUUAAGACGAGCUCAAGAAAAUCACGCACCAAGGCUUUCCACUGGGACCUAGUUGGCUCAGAGAAGAUUGCAAAAUCAUUUUGGAUACAAGAAAGCACCAAGAGGAUUGAAAUCGACACAUCACGCUUAUACGAGCAAUUUGCUGUUAAAGAUCUGGGGACAUUUGGUGCAGCUGAGCCGAGUAAUACCCAGCAUAUUAUGCUCAACCAGAAGAUUGCACACAACUUCAACAUUUUCCUCAAAAGUUUUCCAGUGCAACCGGGAGAGCUGAAGGACAAACUGUUCAUUGUUAAUGAGGAAGAUGGAGGCCUGUCUGAUGAGCACAUCACCUCUCUGAGGAGGUAUGUCCCCACAGUGGAUGAUGUGGAAAUGUAUAAAUCCCACAAAGGACCUGUGACAGAGCUGCAUAUUGUGGACCAGUACAUGAUGGAGAUGUGCAACAUCACCUACCUGAGCACACAACUUGACCUACUGCUGACUCUGAGAGAACUACCGAUCGGCAUGAACGACCUGCAGCCUCUGAUUAACCAGAAGAUCAGAAUGUGCAAGGAGCUGUACAACUGCAGGUCAUUUGUUUCCGUGCUGGAGUACCUCCUCGCCAUUGGCAAUUACCUCAACGAGAACGCUGGAAAGGAAAAGGCCAAGGGAUUCCGCCUCUCCUCCUUAACUAAACUCUCCCAGCUCCGUGGGAGAGACAGAAAGUUCACCUUGCUGCAUGCCCUUGUGGAGCAGAUCAUGUUGCAUGAACCGUGCUUGGCCACUUUUACCCAGGAGCUGGCAGAAUUUGAAACUGUCCCGGGAGCUUCCAUCAAAGGCCUGACUGCAGAAGUAGAUGUCCUGAAGAAUGAACUGCAGAAAGUCAUUCAAUAUAAAAAAACUUCCAAGAAGAGAAAUGCCGGAGCUCAUCACGCAAACUUCUCCAAAGACCUGAAGAUGGCAAUUGAGAAAUACAACACGGAUCUCUCGGCACUGACAAAGACUUGUGAGGAGAUGAAGAAACUCUACUCUGUCAUACUGGUUAAAUUUGGGGAACCAGCGGAUCAAGACUCUCAAGAGCUCUUUGGGUUGAUCUGUCAGUUCAUCCAUGAAUUCAAGAGGACCCACGCUGAAAUAUUUGCUUUUAUAAUAUACAUUGGAUGUGAUGACGUGCAGCGUGUUAUGCUCAUGCACCUGGACGACAGGAUGACAGUGUCAAUUUUGUGAAUAUAAAACAGAUCUAUGUCACAUUAGUUCAUGUCAGAGGUGGGUUUGAUUUUGUUUGACUUCAUGUUUACUGAUGUUUGUUUUGAGACAAAUCAUUAAUGAAGGAUUUGAAACUCCUCGGUAGUAUCGAACGCUCGGAUGCUGAAGUGUGCUGCUAAUACCAAAAGCUCUCUGUUGGCAGAGGAACAAAACAGACAACACUUCAGAGGCCAGCUGAGGAUGGUGUACUUUGAGAGUGUGAUCCUUUUGAAGAUGCAGUCGUGCUAUGGUCAUUGACAUUUCCUAUCUCGGCACUCUGGGAGGAGCUCCAAGGCCACCUCUGAUUCAGUACCACAUCUGCACUGUGGCAAUGACAUGAUGAGCAAAACAAAUUCCCCUUCACAAGGUAGAGAGGUAAUCUUAGCUCUUGUUAUAACUGAUUUAUCUGUUCUUAGUCUGACGUUUUAAUCAGAUGACAGGAGAAACACAGUGUGCACUUAUAACUGUUAAUCACGGUGGUAUAAUGAACCAGACCCCUUACUGAGCCGGAAAAGUUGCACAUUUUGUUGUAAAAGGAAAAAAAAAAACAGUCAUUUUAAUUAAAUCUCUGCAUCUACACAAACUGGUGAUUCAUUAGCAGAAAACACACAAAACUAUUUCAUUAAAUGUUUCCUUCACAGAGCUUUAUCUCAUUAUUUUUUUUUUUAAAUUUCCAAUUUGUCAAAAUUGUAGCUGGAAGGAUCGUUACAGCUUUUUUUCCCCCCCUCCUGACAUAGUGUCUUUGUACUGCUUUUGAAAUUAAAAAAAGAUAAGUGACCUAACUGAGCGUAUACACAACAGAAACACUAAAUUAUACUGCUUUCCAUUUUCUUUCUUACUUUGGAAUUAGUGUCACUCACUUACUGGCCGCUUUAGACCAAAGAUUCACAGCGAGACGAGUUGAAACUUGCAACUACUUGCAAUGCAACGUUAUGAAAUCUGCCGGUUUACACCAAUGCGACCAGAUGAGACGGUUUUGUAGCGUCUUAAAAUAUGAAUGAGGAUAGUGACAGUGAGUUAUGUGCUACAGUUGCAGUUCUAGCAUUGAUGAAACAGCGAAAACAUAAAAAAAACAAGGGGGUUGAGAAUUGGGUGCUUUAAUGGAAUACCAAGGAGGUUUAUGCAAAUUUAUGCCAUGAACUUGAGACAAGAGAGGGCAGUUUGUUUGUUAAUCUUAUUGAAGUACAUUUUAAGGCUUGUAUCAUACAAAUAAACUGAUCCUCUCUUUCGUCCGUCCAAAACUCUGCCAUUUCGACCAACUGACAGUAACUGACCAGCUGAGUUUGCUACGAGCUGAUUGGCAGUUGAAACAGGUGACGUGCCUUACGUUUGAAAAAAACCAACCACUGGUGACUUGAUCAGCUGAGUCGCAGGUGACGCCACCAGCCGGCUUGAGUCAAGCUGAGACUGGCCAGUUUACACCAGUACGACUUUACCCUGCAACGUUCUGAAAUGGUUUUGUCUCAUCAUGAAGCUUUGGUGUAAACUGGACUUUAAAGUGAACCACAGAAACAUAAAUGUAAUAAUUCUGCAUAUAAGUUGCAGCCUGUAUUUCUCCAUUUUUCUUCCACUUUGUUGUUAUAAGAGUGAAACCUCAGUUUGUAUUGGCUGUUCUUCACUUUUCAGGUUUUACUGGGUUUUAGGAGGUCUGUAAAAAAAAACGAGUGGGAAAGCUUCUAUUCACCUCCUCUGCCUUUGUUUGUAUCUCCACGCUGCUGUCAUUGUGUGCCAACUUCUCUAACCAGUCUCCGGAUUUCAUGUAGUGGACAAACAUAAUCAUCAUUGACAUAUUUUUCCUUCUUUUUGCUUUCUUUAUUCCUAACUUCUCAAUGUCAGUCAGCGGACUAUUAUCGCAGUAGCCAUUGUUGUAGAGUUUUUGUCGCAGGGUUACACAUAAAGCGUGAUUUCUGUGCCUGGUGACAUUGUGUAAAAAAAUUGUGUGUAGUGUUGUACUGCAUUUCUAUUUUGGACAGGUUUGUUCUAAGUAUACUACCUGCAUAACUGGCAACUGAUGGAAUAAAACAAAAUCACAUUUGACCUUAA
This is an RNA transcript of Thunnus maccoyii (southern bluefin tuna), 4954 nucleotides long. It is a transcript of the gene named formin-like protein 13, with no coding region annotated. The transcript has 21 exons. NCBI's taxonomy places the organism in Eukaryota, Metazoa, Chordata, Actinopteri, Scombriformes, Scombridae. The record is from RefSeq and is a predicted model, not a curated record.